GAGUUUGAUCGUGGCUCAGAUUGAACGCUGGCGGCAGGCCUAACACAUGCAAGUCGGGCGGUAGAGAGAAGCUUGCUUCUCUUGAGAGCGGCGGACGGGUGAGUAAUGCCUAGGAAUCUGCCUGGUAGUGGGGGAUAACGCUCGGAAACGGACGCUAAUACCGCAUACGUCCUACGGGAGAAAGCAGGGGACCUUCGGGCCUUGCGCUAUCAGAUGAGCCUAGGUCGGAUUAGCUAGUUGGUGAGGUAAUGGCUCACCAAGGCGACGAUCCGUAACUGGUCUGAGAGGAUGAUCAGUCACACUGGAACUGAGACACGGUCCAGACUCCUACGGGAGGCAGCAGUGGGGAAUAUUGGACAAUGGGCGAAAGCCUGAUCCAGCCAUGCCGCGUGUGUGAAGAAGGUCUUCGGAUUGUAAAGCACUUUAAGUUGGGAGGAAGGGCAGUAAAUUAAUACUUUGCUGUUUUGACGUUACGACAGAAUAAGCACGGCUAACUCUGUGCCAGCCGCCGACCG
This 515-nucleotide ribosomal RNA is filed under the name uncultured bacterium. RNAcentral describes it as "bacterial SSU rRNA". It matches the Rfam family "Bacterial small subunit ribosomal RNA", at positions 9 to 520 of the family's 1533-position model. The record is from RNAcentral.